This 108-nucleotide ribosomal RNA is filed under the name Acanthosepion pharaonis. Lineage: Eukaryota; Metazoa; Mollusca; Cephalopoda; Sepiida; Sepiidae. The record is from RNAcentral.
UCGUAUCACAUUUAAACACCGAUUCUCGUACGAUCACUGAAGUUAAGCAACGUCGAUCCUGGUCGGUACCUGGAUGGGUGACCGCUUGGGAAUACCAGGUGCCGUAAG